CGACUGCUAAGACUGGAUAGGAGACAAGAAGGCAUCUUCUUGUUUUUAAAAGACCUAGCAAUAGGUAUGCUUAGGGAGGAGCUUGCGUCACAUUAGUUAGUUGGUGGGGUAAAGGCCUACCAAGACUAUGAUGUGUAGCCGGGCUGAGAGGUUGAACGGCCACAUUGGGACUGAGACACGGCCCAAACUCCUACGGGAGGCAGCAGUAGGGAAUUUUCGGCAAUGGAGGAAACUCUGACCGAGCAACGCCGCGUGAACGAUGAAGUAUUUCGGUACGUAAAGUUCUUUUAUUAGGGAAGAAUAAAUGAUGGAAAAAUCAUUCUGACGGUACCUAAUGAAUAAGCCCCGGCUAACUAUGUGCCAGCAGCCGCGGUAAUACAUAGGGGGCAAGCGUUAUCCGGAAUUAUUGGGCGUAAAGGGUGCGUAGGCGGUUAAAUAAGUUUAUGGUCUAAGUGCAAUGCUCAACAUUGUGAUGCUAUAAAAACUGUUUAGCUAGAGUAAGAUAGAGGCAAGUGGAAUUCCAUGUGUAGUGGUAAAAUGCGUAAAUAUAUGGAGGAACACCAGUAGCGAAGGCGGCUUGCUGGGUCUUUACUGACGCUGAGGCACGAAAGCGUGGGGAGCAAACAGGAUUAGAUACCCUGGUAGUCCACGCCGUAAACGAUGAGUACUAAACGUUGGGUAAAACCAGUGUUGAAGUUAACACAUUAAGUACUCCGCCUGAGUAGUACGUACGCAAGUAUGAAACUUAAAGGAAUUGACGGGACUCCGCACAAGCGGUGGAUCAUGUUGUUUAAUUCGAAGGUACCCGAAAAACCUCACCAGGUCUUGACAUGCUUCUGCAAAGCUGUAGAAACACAGUGGAGGUUAUCAGUUGCACAGGUGGUGCAUGGUUGUCGUCAGCUCGUGUCGUGAGAUGUUGGGUUAAGUCCCGCAACGAGCGCAACCCUUAUUGUUAGUUACCAGCACGUAAUGGUGGGGACUUUAGCAAGACUGCCAGUGAUAAAUUGGAGGAAGGUGGGGACGACGUCAAAUCAUCAUGCCCCUUAUGACCUGGGCUACAAACGUGAUACAAUGGCUGUUACAAAGGGUAGCUGAAGCGCAAGUUUUUGGCGAAUCUCAAAAAAACAGUCUCAGUUCGGAUUGAAGUCUGCAACUCGACUUCAUGAAGUUGGAAUCGCUAGUAAUCGCGAAUCAGCAUGUCGCGGCGAAUACGUUCUCGGGGUUUGUACACACCGCCCG
Molecule: ribosomal RNA, 1239 nt
Filed under: Candidatus Phytoplasma asteris
Lineage: Bacteria; Bacillati; Mycoplasmatota; Mollicutes; Acholeplasmatales; Acholeplasmataceae
Description: bacterial SSU rRNA
Rfam family: Bacterial small subunit ribosomal RNA
Source: RNAcentral